GGAAUUUUGGACAAUGGGGGAAACCCUGAUCCAGCCAUGCCGCGUGGGUGAAGAAGGCCUUAGGGUUGUAAAACUCUUUCACCGGGGACGAUGAUGACGGUACCCGGAGAAGAAGCCCCGGCUAACUCCGUGCCAGCCGCCGCGGUAAUACGGAGGGGGCUAGCGUUGUUCGGAAUUACUGGGCGUAAAGCGCACGUAGGCGGUUUAUCAAGUCAGAUGUGAAAGCCCCGGGCUUAACCCGGGAAAUGCAUUUGAUACUGAUUGACUAGAGGCCGGGAGAGGGUAGUGGAAUUCCCAGUGUAGAGGUGAAAUUCGUAGAUAUUGGGAAGAACACCGGUGGCGAAGGCGGCUACCUGGACCGGACCUGACGCUGAGGUGCGAAAGCGUGGGGAGCA
This 395-nucleotide ribosomal RNA is filed under the name uncultured bacterium. RNAcentral describes it as "bacterial SSU rRNA". It matches the Rfam family "Bacterial small subunit ribosomal RNA", at positions 358 to 770 of the family's 1533-position model. The record is from RNAcentral.